RNAcentral lists this ribosomal RNA (215 nucleotides) under Cartodere nodifer. RNAcentral's name for it is "partial 28S ribosomal RNA". The record is from RNAcentral. Lineage: Eukaryota; Metazoa; Arthropoda; Insecta; Coleoptera; Latridiidae.
GGACCAAGGGGUACUAGCACGUGCGUGAGUCAUUGGGACANNUCUAAAUCUCGAAGGCGNNAUGARCGUAAAGACCUACCUCGCGCGACUGCGAGAGGCUGUCUAGNGCCCCCAUCGCGCUAUGGAGUCGGCACACGCCCGCGGGACUGGUCCCAGAGCAGUCCCGUUCACAAUCGCGGGAAGAGACNCACCUUAGAGCGUAUUUACUAGGGUCC